Molecule: non-coding RNA, 360 nt
Organism: Vicia faba (fava bean)
Lineage: Eukaryota; Viridiplantae; Streptophyta; Magnoliopsida; Fabales; Fabaceae
Source: the annotation of a GenBank genome assembly
CAUGAUAAAGUUCAAUGUCAAUCUAGGAAAGUUAACUUUUGGCCAAAGUUCUAUUUAAAUCUAUGUCUGUUUCAUUCAAGUUACAAGCAUAAUGGAGGGAAAAUAUAUUUCAAAGUAUGGUUGAAAAAGGAUUCAAUAUAUUCAAAAUUUAAAGGAAAUUAUAAAGGACAAUUAAGUUCACAAUUCAAGUUACCUUACAAAGUCAAUCUCAUUACAAGAAGAACCAUCACAUAUUUCGUGUUUCAAGACCAUUCCAUUUCAAACCAUAUUUCCAUACACAAUACUUUCCAUGAUCGAGUCAUGUUUGAUACAUAUCCAAGAGAUUCAUUCUACAUCAUUCAAAUAAAACUAUACAAAUAG